AUGUGGUUCGUUCACAAAGUGAUCCUUACUAAAGACAACCUGGCAAAACGUAAUUGGGCGGGUAGUAAAUGAUAUUGUUCCUGUGAUCAAGAUAAAUCAAUCCAACAUCUGUUUCUAGAUUGUCCUCUUGCCAAGUUCCUUUGGCACACAGCAUGUGGCAUCUAA
RNAcentral lists this ribosomal RNA (165 nucleotides) under Triticum aestivum (bread wheat). RNAcentral describes it as "partial small subunit ribosomal RNA". The record is from RNAcentral. Lineage: Eukaryota; Viridiplantae; Streptophyta; Magnoliopsida; Poales; Poaceae.